Small nucleolar RNA from Dioscorea cayenensis subsp. rotundata (Guinea yam), 107 nucleotides. The record is from RefSeq and is a predicted model, not a curated record. NCBI's taxonomy places the organism in Eukaryota, Viridiplantae, Streptophyta, Magnoliopsida, Dioscoreales, Dioscoreaceae.
AAUCCAUGUUAUGGACACUUUUGCAAGAGAUCCUUGAAUCAUUCCCAUGUCUUAAAUAAUAAUUCUAUCUCCAUCUGAACAUAUGAAGAGAUCUCAUUUUGAAGCUU